Molecule: transfer RNA, 64 nt
Filed under: Lepidotrigona terminata
Lineage: Eukaryota; Metazoa; Arthropoda; Insecta; Hymenoptera; Apidae
Description: tRNA-His
Source: RNAcentral
AUUUAAGUAGUUUAGAUAAAAACAUUGAAUUGUGAAUUCAAAGAAAUAAUUAAGAUCUUAAAUU